RNAcentral lists this long non-coding RNA (307 nucleotides) under Actinidia chinensis (golden kiwifruit). RNAcentral's name for it is "long non-coding RNA (ACHI_LNC008663)". The record is from RNAcentral. Lineage: Eukaryota; Viridiplantae; Streptophyta; Magnoliopsida; Ericales; Actinidiaceae.
CUCUCUCUCUUUCAUGAGUUGUUCAUCGAUUAGAAGAUGAGGAGACAACAUCUCGUUGGGGGAAGGCCAUGAUUGCAGAUGCAGAGCAUAAACAGAGCUGAGACAUGGCAUCCCCCCUGCAUAGAGUUAACAGCUCAUCUUUGCUGUGGAUGAUGAAUCUAUUUUCUUUGUGAGCAAGGAUGUUGACUUGUAUUGGGAGUUAAUACUCAGUCAGAAAAACCAUUGCAGGGGGUUGACCUUUGUAUGCUAUCCUGCUGGAAAUUGAGGGGAGGUAGGGUGUUUCUUUUCCAUUGCAUUUCAAAUUUAA